AAUGGAGCCUGCCUUCUAUGAACUAAGACCUCUGAAACUCCAUGAGCUGAAAUUUUGCUACUCCUGCCAUGAGAUGCCACCAAAGGCCCAAAGCAAAGGGGUCAAUCCUGGACUGAAAACCUCUAAAACUGUUGUUUCUGAAUCCCGUCGACAGUAGCAUUCAUAGAAUCUUAGAAAAUAUUUUCCACUACCAAAGUGGACAGCAGAGUGGAGCCCUCAGGAGAGAAAAGGUCAACUUCUUCCAUCAAGCUUUCAUAAUUGAAGGGCAAUUUUCUGUCUGUAACACUUUAUUUCACACUUUUUAUGGAUCAUCUUUUCCCUAAAUAACUCUCUGUUGGCAACUUUGAAAAUCUCAAUUUGCCUGCUUCCUUGAAUCCAUUGAAUGUUUCGGUAUAAACAUUACUGACAGAUUAUUGUAGACGUUCUAUGAUUUGAGUAUGAUUUCAGUGUCCCUCAAGGCUUCAUAUACUGAAAUUCAAACCCUAAUCGGAGUCACUAAGAGAGUAGAAACCUAAUCUGAUUACAGUGUUGUUUUUUUUCUAUUUUUAAGAAAUUGGUUAGUAUUAGAUAAAGUCAUUAAGGUGGAACCCCAGGAGACAGACUUGAACACACACCCGAUCACACGCUCCCUGUCUCUUGCCAUGUUCUGCCCUGUGCCACCUUAGGACACUGACCAGAUACAGCCCCCCUCGACCAUGCUCCUCAAGAACCAU
This is a long non-coding RNA of Marmota flaviventris (yellow-bellied marmot), 713 nucleotides long. RefSeq lists it as uncharacterized. The record is from RefSeq and is a predicted model, not a curated record. NCBI's taxonomy places the organism in Eukaryota, Metazoa, Chordata, Mammalia, Rodentia, Sciuridae.